UACGUAGGGUGCGAGCGUUAAUCGGAAUUACUGGGCGUAAAGCGUGCGCAGGCGGUUCGUUGUGUCGGUGGUGAAAGCCCCGGGCUCAACCUGGGAAUGGCCGUUGAAACUGGCGAACUGGAGUGUGGCAGAGGGGGGUGGAAUUCCGCGUGUAGCAGUGAAAUGCGUAGAGAUGCGGAGGAACACCGAUGGCGAAGGCAGCCCCCUGGGCUGACACUGACGCCUCAGGCACGAAAGCGUGGGGGAGCAAACAGG
RNAcentral lists this ribosomal RNA (255 nucleotides) under uncultured bacterium. RNAcentral describes it as "partial 16S ribosomal RNA". It matches the Rfam family "Bacterial small subunit ribosomal RNA", at positions 524 to 776 of the family's 1533-position model. The record is from RNAcentral.